Molecule: transfer RNA, 61 nt
Filed under: uncultured Treponema sp.
Lineage: Bacteria; Pseudomonadati; Spirochaetota; Spirochaetia; Treponematales; Treponemataceae
Also listed under: 3 other names
Rfam family: tRNA
About the family: Transfer RNA (tRNA) molecules are approximately 80 nucleotides in length. Their secondary structure includes four short double-helical elements and three loops (D, anti-codon, and T loops). Further hydrogen bonds mediate the characteristic L-shaped molecular structure. tRNAs have two regions of fundamental functional importance: the anti-codon, which is responsible for specific mRNA codon recognition, and the 3' end, to which the tRNAs corresponding amino acid is attached (by aminoacyl-tRNA synthetases). tRNAs cope with the degeneracy of the genetic code in two manners: having more than one tRNA (with a specific anti-codon) for a particular amino acid; and 'wobble' base-pairing, i.e. permitting non-standard base-pairing at the 3rd anti-codon position.
Source: RNAcentral
CUUAGCUCAGUCGGUUAGAGCAUCUGACUGUUAAUCAGGGGGUCCAAGGUUCAAGUCCUUG